CGAGGGGGAAACCUGGACGCAGCGACGCCACGUGGGGGAUGAAGGCCUUCGGGUCGUAAACCUCUGUUCAGAAGGGAAGAAACGCGCCAUUUCAAAUAGGCUUGGCGUUUGACGGUACCUUCAGAGGAAGCACCGGCUAACUCCGUGCCAGCAGCCGCGGUAAUACGA
This 168-nucleotide ribosomal RNA is filed under the name uncultured bacterium. RNAcentral describes it as "partial 16S ribosomal RNA". It matches the Rfam family "Bacterial small subunit ribosomal RNA", at positions 372 to 528 of the family's 1533-position model. The record is from RNAcentral.